RNAcentral lists this long non-coding RNA (2401 nucleotides) under Ananas comosus (pineapple). RNAcentral's name for it is "long non-coding RNA (ACOM_LNC021298)". The record is from RNAcentral. Lineage: Eukaryota; Viridiplantae; Streptophyta; Magnoliopsida; Poales; Bromeliaceae.
CAUGCUGAUGUAAUAUUUUUGUGAGUAGUUAUUUUAACUAUUAUUAAGAGUUGAAGUGGAAUACUCACUACAACAAAAAACGGUUUAUAGCGACACUUUUAAACGUAGGUACAUGUCAAAAAAGUGCUGCUAGCUAAAAUUACCGACACUUUUAAAAAGUGUUGCUAUAUGUGGGGUCGCUAGGUAUAUAGUGACAGUUAAAGAGUGUCGCUAUAACCUAAAAGAGUGCUGCUAAUUUACCAACACUUAUUUAAGCAUUUAGCAACCGCCGAAACUCUAUCUCGUUGGCUGCGGUGGCGGAGGAGGACGACAGGAAAGGCUCUUCGUCUAGAAUUUCAGUGGAUUGAGUGAAGAGAGAAGAAAAGAUGGUAAUUGAUUUUUCUUUUUUUUUUCUCUUUUCUGUUUGUAAUCGGGCCAAAUGGACUGGAUGUGGUGGGUUGAGUAGAGUAAUCUUUUAUUUUUGGUUGGAUUGGGCUUUAUAUUUAGGCAUUAGUAGAUAUUUUUUUUAAGUUUUAGGAUAAAUGGGACACUCACUCAAAAGUGUCCCAAACAUGUGUCCCUAUAACCUAAUUCUGUUAUAAUGACCAUUAAUAAUAUUUAGGCACUUUUGCUAUUAAUUUUUUGACCGUUAAAUUUACACUUUAAUCAAAUACAUCUUUAGAUCAUACGAUUGAACCAACCACUCAUUCAACCUUAGGGAGACCACCACUAAACUCUAGUAGGGGACCACUAUCAUUCUAAUUCUAUAAUUUUUUAUUUAAGGAUUAAAAAUUCGAUAGUAAAAGAGUCUAAAUACUAUUAAAUAGUAUUCCAACCUAAUUCCUAUUAUUAAUUACCAUUUUGCUGGUUUACAACUUAUAGUUAUUCUUUUUUUGUUAACUACAUCAGCCAUCCAAUCAAAAUCUUCCAUAUUGUGUUGAUAACUCUUUCAAAUUUGUAUCUUAUUUGAAACCCGAAUUAUUUGAAACUCAAAUUUCGAAAUGCUCCAUAUUAUAAGGACUGAAAAACACUACAAGAAAAGAUAAUAUUAGUGACAAAAAUAAGGUAGCGAUAAAAUAUGUCGCCACUAUAUAGUUAUCUAUGGUAGUGAUAAAACCAAUUACCACCGACUGAUUAAUUUAAAGUGGCGAUACUACUUUCGGCACUAAAUGACUAUUUUGUCGCCACUAUAUAGUUACCUACGGUGGCGAUAAAACAAAUUCCACCAAUUAAUUAGAUUAAAGUGGCAAUAUUAUUUUCGCCACUAAAUAAUUAUUUUGUCGCCAUUAUAUUGUUACCUACGGUUGCGAUAAAAAAAAAUUGCCAUCAAUUAAUUAACUUAAAGUGGCAAUACUAUUAUCACCACUAAAUAACUAUUUUUUGCCACUAUAUAUUUAUUUAUGGUGGCGAUAAAAAAAAUCGCCACCUAUUAAAGUAAUAAUAUUACUUUUUCUACUAAAUUACUAGUUGAUCGCCACUAUAAGGUUAUAUAUAGGGCGCGUUUGGUUCGAAGUCGGAAUCGGAAUCAAAAUCAAAAUCGAAAUAAAUUGGAAUCGGAAUCGGAAUCGGAAUGACUCUUACCUAAUUCUGUUUGGUUCGUUACCUGAAUCGGAAUCGAAAUAAAUCAUUUUCAUUGUCGGUGUUUCGUUUACAUAGAUAUAAAAAAGUAAUCAAAUUAAUAUACUAACUUUAUCUUUAUAAUAUAUUAAUAUAAAUUCAAAUUGAAAAUUAAAAAUUAAAAAUUUACAUCAAAAUUUUGAAAUAAUGUCAAAUUUUUAAAUCUAUUUUUUUAAAAAAAUUAAACUCUGAAGUUGAGUGGAUAAUUUAAAAUAUAAAAUUAAAUUUCGAUUUAUUCAAAUUCAAAUUUCAAAUUACAAUUUAAAUUUAAUUUGAAUUCAUAAAUUUAAUUUAAGUUUUAAAUAAAAUUUGAAUAAAAUUUUAUAUAAAUUAAAAAUUUAAUUUAAAUUCAAAUUCAUAAGUUAGAUUUGAAAUACUUAAUUAAAUUUUAAUUUUUAAUUCAAAUUCAAAUUAAAAUUAUAAAUUAUAAAUUUGAUUUCUAAAUUUAAACUCAUAUUUUAAUUAACAAAUUAAAAAAAAAUUUAAUCUGAAUAAAUAUCCAUUCCAUCCGAAUUCAACUUCCAAUCCGGCCUCUUAGGCCGGAUUGGAAAAAGAGGUGAUUGGGGGAUUCCCAUUCCACCCAGGAGUUGAAAUCGGAAUGGUACUCCCGCGUACCAAACACUCACAAAUGGAUUUGUUUAUUCUGAUUCCGACUCCAGGAUGAAAUAGAAGCGAACCAAACACGCCCACAGUAGCGAUAAAAAAAAUUGUCACUUAUUAAUUAACUUAAAAUGUAAUUAUUAUUUUCAUCACUAAAUGUCUAUUUUGUCACCCCUAUAUAAUCACAUAUGGUGAUGAAAAAAGU